Molecule: non-coding RNA, 59 nt
Filed under: Corynebacterium halotolerans
Lineage: Bacteria; Bacillati; Actinomycetota; Actinomycetes; Mycobacteriales; Corynebacteriaceae
Also listed under: 1 other name
Source: RNAcentral
GAAUCCCCGGGCCCCGGACGAGGGAGCCGUACCCGGAGUCGCGACAAGACGGCCACGGA